RNAcentral lists this ribosomal RNA (104 nucleotides) under Acidobacteriota bacterium. The record is from RNAcentral. Lineage: Bacteria; Pseudomonadati; Acidobacteriota.
CCGGAGGGGUCACACCCGUUCCCAUCCCGAACACGGAAGUUAAGCCCUCCAGGGCCGAUGAUACUGCACUGGUCACGGUGUGGGAAAGUAGGUCGUUGCCGGAA